ACGGAGGGGGCGAGCGUUAUUCGGAAUUAUUGGGCGUAAAGGGCGCGUAGGCGGCCUUGUAAGUCAAAGGUGAAAUCCCUCGGCUCAACUGAGGAACUGCCUUUGAAACUGCAAGGCUUGAGGCCGGGAGGGGGUAGCGGAAUUCCCAAUGUAGCGGUGAAAUGCGUAGAUAUUGGGAGGAACACCAGUGGCGAAGGCGGCUACCUGGACCGGUUCUGACGCUGAGGCGCGAAAGCGUGGGUAGCAAACAGGA
This 253-nucleotide ribosomal RNA is filed under the name uncultured prokaryote. Its description in RNAcentral is "partial 16S ribosomal RNA". It matches the Rfam family "Bacterial small subunit ribosomal RNA", at positions 525 to 777 of the family's 1533-position model. The record is from RNAcentral.